AGCAAAGUGAAAACAUAUUAAAAGAAGAAACUGUACAAUAUGAAAUUCCUUUACAGCAAAAUACAAAUGAUACGGUAGUGAAAAGUGAAAACAAAUCAAAAGGAGAAACUGGACGAUCUGAAAGCCCUUCCCAGCAAAAGGCACAGGAUACGGUAGUGCAAAGUGAAAAUAGAUCAAAAGAAGAGACUAGACAGCCUGUAGCUCUUACCCUGCAACACACACAGGAAACGCAAAGUGACAACAGAUCAAAAGAAGAGACUGAACACUCUGAAAACCCUACCCUGCAACAUAUACAAUAUACGCAAAAUGAAACAAGAUCUAAAGAACAAAAUGGACAAUCUGAAAGCCCUUCUCAGCAAAAUACUCAGGGUACGGUAGUGGUAAGUG
Molecule: long non-coding RNA, 387 nt
Organism: Ruditapes philippinarum (Manila clam)
Lineage: Eukaryota; Metazoa; Mollusca; Bivalvia; Venerida; Veneridae
Exons: 5
Source: RefSeq, a predicted model, not a curated record